GACGAACGCUGGCGGCGUGCUUAACACAUGCAAGUCGAACGGAAAGGCCCUGCUUUUGUGGGGUGCUCGAGUGGCGAACGGGUGAGUAACACGUGAGUAACCUGCCCUUGACUUUGGGAUAACUUCAGGAAACUGGGGCUAAUACCGGAUAGGAGCUCCUGCUGCAUGGUGGGGGUUGGAAAGUUUCGGCGGUUGGGGAUGGACUCGCGGCUUAUCAGCUUGUUGGUGGGGUAGUGGCUUACCAAGGCUUUGACGGGUAGCCGGCCUGAGAGGGGGACCGGCCACAUUGGGCCUGAGGUACGGCCCAGACUGCUACGGGAGGCAGCAGUGGGGAAUAUUGCACAAUGGGCGGAAGCCUGAUGCAGCAACGCCGCGUGCGGGAUGACGGCCUUCGGGUUGUAAACCGCUUUCGCCUGUGACGAAGCGUGAGUGACGGUAAUGGGUAAAGAAGCACCGGCUAACUACGUG
This 468-nucleotide ribosomal RNA is filed under the name uncultured bacterium. Its description in RNAcentral is "partial 16S ribosomal RNA". It matches the Rfam family "Bacterial small subunit ribosomal RNA", at positions 28 to 507 of the family's 1533-position model. The record is from RNAcentral.